Molecule: ribosomal RNA, 253 nt
Filed under: uncultured bacterium
Lineage: Bacteria
Description: partial 16S ribosomal RNA
Rfam family: Bacterial small subunit ribosomal RNA
Source: RNAcentral
UACAGAGGUGGCAAGCGUUGUUCGGAAUUACUGGGCGUAAAGGGCGCGUAGGUGGCCUUCUAAGUCAGACGUGAAAUCCCCAGGCUUAACUUGGGAACUGCGUCUGAUACUGGAUGGCUUGAGUUCGGGAGAGGGAUGUGGAAUUCCAGGUGUAGCGGUGAAAUGCGUAGAUAUCUGGAGGAACACCGGUGGCGAAGGCGGCAUCCUGGACCGAAACUGACACUGAGGCGCGAAAGCCAGGGGAGCAAACGGG